This 397-nucleotide ribosomal RNA is filed under the name uncultured bacterium. RNAcentral describes it as "bacterial SSU rRNA". It matches the Rfam family "Bacterial small subunit ribosomal RNA", at positions 358 to 771 of the family's 1533-position model. The record is from RNAcentral.
GGGAUAUUGCACAAUGGGCGCAAGCCUGAUGCAGCGACGCCGCGUGGGUGAUGACGGUCUUCGGAUUGUAAAACCCUUUUCUGGUUGACGAGCAAGGACGGUAGAUCAGGAAGACGUGUCGGCUAACUACGUGCCAGCCGCCGCGGUAAAACGUAGGCCACGAGCGUUAUCCGGAGUUACUGGGCGUAAAGGGCGUGCAGGCGGCAGCGUAAGUCUGAUGUGAAAGCUCCCGGCUCAACCGGGAGAGGACAUUGGAGACUGCGCAGCUAGAGGCAGAUAGGGGGCUGUAGAAUUCCGGGUGUAGUGGUGAAAUGCGUAGAGAUCCGGAGGAAUACCAGAGGCGAAGGCGGCAGCCUGGGUCUGACCUGACGCUGAGACGCGACAGCAUGGGGAGCGA